Molecule: unclassified non-coding RNA, 3855 nt
Filed under: Haliotis rufescens (red abalone)
Lineage: Eukaryota; Metazoa; Mollusca; Gastropoda; Lepetellida; Haliotidae
Description: orexin receptor type 2-like, transcript variant X2
Source: RNAcentral
AUCCAUUGGGUGCUGGCGUAAUGUAUGAUGAAGCGCAGGCCUGCAUAGAACAGUAUUGAGCGAACGUAUUAGCUGUGUAGUCUUCAGCGAGAGCAGUGCGUUCAUUCUAUUAGAUUGUGUUCUGCCCAACAGUCAAUACCUCGUGGACUAUUACCGUAUUGUAUUAAAUACGUGUAUGUGUGAAGGCUUAAUUGAGUGUUCUUCUUUGGAUUUUUAUAUCAAUUAUGUGUUUUAUCAAGGACCGAUUCUUCUCAAAGUUUGUUGGCAUGGUUACAUAUGUGUCCGUUAAACAGACAAUGAUGGAUAAGCGUUGCACGUUAUAAAAGUCAAAUAGAUAGUUAUUUUUCAAAGCUUUUUUGUCAUAUAUUUUGGAAAUCGGUGAGAUUCUGUAGUUUGUGGAAUAGAACGAAACAAAACAUCAUUCCAAAAAUGCACGGAAAACAGCAUUACGAUGAAGUGAUUGAAAUGAUCUACCCGAACUCAACAGAGGGUUCCUUCAAUGCUUCUCCUAAUACCACUGACGAAGACUACCCUGAAGUAGAGCCUUGGCAGAACCAGCCUUUCAUCUGGAUCAUCCUACUACUUUCAACAUGCGUCUUCGUUAUGGGCAUUGUAGGGAACCUGCUGGUGUGGUUUGCAGUAUGGAGGAACCACCGGAUGCGCUCUGCGACGAACCUGUUCCUAGUCAACCUGGCUCUAGCGGACUUUUUGGUUAUCUUGAUAUGUCUGCCACCUACUGUUAUUUCUGAUGUAACCGGCAACUGGCCACUUGGACACGAGAUGUGCAAAGCCGUGCACUAUUUACAGAAAGUAUCAGUCUUUGUGUCCGUUCUGACCCUGACAGCUAUAUCAAUGGAGAGAUGGAUGGCGAUAUGUCGUCCCCUAUGGUUCCGACAGACGUCUGUGAGAGCUAAACGGAUCAUUGUGUUAUUGUGGGGAAUAUCAUUCGCAGCUGCCAUUCCAGAUUUAGUAGUAUUACAAACAGUUUACCAUGAACAUUACGAUAUUACAAUUUGUCAGCCAAGCUGGGAUCUGAAGUUUGAGAAAAUAAGCCUAUUAUCAAUACUCGUGCUGUUCUACUUCAUUCCGUUGCUAAUUAUGACGUUCGCAUACGCAAAAGUAGCCAUUUGCCUAUGGCGAAGUGGAUCAGCCAAUGAAUCGACAGUUGCGGCUGCUAGCGUACCCCGAGCUCAACUUCUGAUCCGACAAAAGAAGGCCAAGAUGCUUAUCGUUGUUGUCCUCAUCUUUGCCAUCUGCUUCUUGCCCGUGUAUAUCCUCUUCUUGUUAAGGUGCUCUGAUGUGAGGAUUGCUCAAGAAGUAGCCAAGCCUGUCCUGAUGAUUGCUCACUUCCUCUGCUACUUCAACAGCGCCAUAAACCCCGUCAUAUACAACUUCAUGAGCUGUAACUUCCGCCGAGAGUUCAAGGUUGCAUGUCGGGUUUGCUGUAGGGAAGGUCAAGGUCACGGCCACACAAACUACUCUGCACAUGACGGCUGGGCGUUAAAAACCACCUCAGAUGCAAGGAAUGGGCAUUCCGGAGCCAUAGCAAGCAGAAACAUGAACUUGAGACAAUCAAGUGUCCUCACAUCAAGCGUUAGAAUAUCCAGUAUCAGAAAACCAAAUAUUCAAACUCAUGUUCAUUUUGGAAAGGUCCAAAAUGUGUAAACAAUCUUCAGAUCGUCAGUCGGACUCUUCGUUCUGUUGACUUACAACAAAACAUCCUAUGGUGUUAACGUUACUUCCGUAUGAGAGAAUGUUUUAAUUUCAUUAGAUACAGCUUUUAAGUUUGAAUGAUUUGUUACAUUAGAGCUUGUGUAUUCUGGGCACAACUCAUUAUUUAUUUGCUUGGACUAUAUAGUCAGUUGAGUUAUUUUAUUGACACUGUGAACAUUUUGCACCUGCUAUUAGAUUCAAAUGCUGCAGCCAAGUUGAAGCUUCACACAACAGACGUUUGAACCUCGAAAGAUUCUUCGUUCAGAAAUUUCAGCUCCAGUAUAACCGUUUAUAUAAAGAUUAUUAGUAUGCACAUCAUACAUUUGCAACCUGUUUGAAUCUUCUUGUUCUCGGAAUAUUGAACAGAAUAUAACAUUAUACACAUCGAAACAACAUAAAAUACAAUAUAAUACUUGUGUGGUGUCGUAUCAAUGCCUAAUUAACAAAACACAUUUUGGAGUUUGGACAUUAGGUACAAAUAUUUGGACACCUGUGAUAAUUAAAAACAAGGAAGUUAUUUAUCUUUUGACAUACAUUAUAAACCGUUAUGACAUGCUAUCGAAAUUUGUUUGUCAGGGUACAUAUUUGAAACCCCAGAAAGUAUAGAUUUAAAAAACAACAACAACAGACAUUUGGGUACUAAUACCAGUGCCUUUCUAAGAAGCUGAAAAACAUUUUGAAAAGAUAUUAAUAUUUUUCAAGAUACGGUUUAGGACUUUCUGUUAUUAUAAAGACCGCCAUGUACAUAUGUUACAUAUAUUGUACCAAUGGUCACGUUCGGUUGCGUAGCACUACAACAUCUUUGAUUAUGAAGACGGUUAUGUACAAAUGUUAAAUAUAUACAUAUACAAUGGUACAUGACAGUAGCUGUUCUUUCGUGUACAAUAAUGUCAAUUGCUGUGAUAUGGUAUAUUAAUGUUUCAUGUUAAAAUGUUUGUUUGUUAUGUGAUUUGUUUACAAAAGUUACGUUUGAUUGAAGAACAUUGUAUACUUAUAAGUAUGUACAUUUUAUCAUAUGUAACAUAUUUUGAUAGCCCGGUACUUACAAAUAUGUUUCUUCCUAAAUAUUUACCUUUUUGUCAUAUAAUAUUUCUUUUUCACAAUAAAAUUAUAUCUGAUAAAUGUACGUUAGCAGUAUUUAUGAUCUUCUCUCAAUUUGUAAUUAGAAAGGGAAAGAUCUUUAACCUCGGGCAUAAACAGAAACUGAUAUUUCAUCAACGCUAGCAUAUGAAACAAACGAGGCCCCAAAUGUGAACUGUUCUGAUAGUGUGACAGUUUUCACUACUUAAGUGGUAUUGUUGUUAAGUAUGAUGACUAGUAAGGGUUUUAUUAGAUUAAUCUGGUGCCACUAGUGGCAUUUUUCAUUACUGAACAUAUGAUAUAAAUCCAGUUUCGUUCCCCUUACGGGUAAGAUACAGUAUUUCAUAUCAUAUUAUUUAGAUAUUUGAUUGGGGUACAACUUAUGGUAAAGUAAUUGAAACAAAUGAAGAGUAUGAUUGUAAUGCCGCCCCUUUCAGAAAUGAUUAAGCUGUGUUGUUCUGUAGUGAAAAAUGUAUUUUUUUCAUUUUGCCUUGAAAGAAUGACACACGCAUAUGUAAAUAAAAACUUUUGUGAGGUGGAUGUUUGUCUUCUCCUAUGUUGAAUUUACACCAUUUGAUAUUAUGCUUCGCAAUGGAUAUGAUGUAAACAAAACAUGAUCAUCGCCUUUUGGGAGCUCUCAAAUGAGUGGCAAGGGCUUGGAGUACUAUAUUGUCUCAAAACACUUAUCUGUGGUGACAUGCAUACAUUUUUUGUCUUUGUACAUGUUUACUACAUUUCAAAUGUAGUGCUUUAAGUCUGUAAAAAUAUAUAUAAGUGCUUUCAGCCAAUGUAACCUUAUCGUUCUUAAUUCUACUCUUUUUACAUAUGUCGUCGUUGUCAAUAUACUCUGACAUUCUUCAGGUGCCAUUCACUCACCGUCACCCGAGAGCACGAGAAAGACUCGACUAAGCUGUUCUCCCAACUUAACUGUGUAUCGAGCAGUGCUUCAAACCAAACAGAAGUCCCCCCUGUCAAUGCUGUAAGACAAUGUUGCAACAAUGUCUAGCUUUAUUUGUUUUAUUGUCUUGUGGAAUCAUUUCCUAAUAAAUGCUGCAAAUUGUC